UCACUUUCUUCAGCAAACAUUAGGAGAGGACCUUCUCUGUUUCGGCCACGUGUGUACUCACAGCCCCUCACACACGGCCAAAACAGAGAAAGUACUCUUCUAAGAUUUGCUUCACUGGAGUGUGA
RNAcentral lists this microRNA precursor (125 nucleotides) under Callithrix jacchus (white-tufted-ear marmoset). RNAcentral describes it as "microRNA cja-mir-942 precursor". Its record names the gene cja-mir-942. The stretch from base 19 to 104 matches the Rfam family "mir-942 microRNA precursor family". Lineage: Eukaryota; Metazoa; Chordata; Mammalia; Primates; Cebidae. The record is from miRBase by way of RNAcentral.